UACAUAGGGUGCAAGCGUUGUCCGGAAUUAUUGGGCGUAAAGAGCUCGUAUGCCGUUUGCCUGGUCUAUUGUGAAAAUCUGAGGCUCAACCUCAGACCUGCUUUCGAUACUGGCUUACUUUAGUGUGGUUGGGGAGAGUGGAAUUCCUGGUGGAACGGUGGAAUGCGCCCAUAUCAGGAGGAACACCAAUGGUUGAGGCCGUCCUCUGGUUCCUAAAUGAUACUGAUGAGCGAAAGUGCGGAGAGCGAACAUGAUUAAAUACCCUGGUAAUCCGCGCCGGAAAUCAUGGGGACUAUCUGUGAGAGCCUUCCACGGUUCUCGCGACGCAGCACAUGCAUUAUGUGCCCCGCCUGGGGAGUGCAAUCGCAUGAUUAUAACUCAGAGGAUUUGUGGGGGGCCCGCACAAGGCUCGCAGCAUGCGUCUUAAUUCGACCCAAUGCGCAGAACCUUAUCCAGGGUUGAGAUAUAUCCAAUAAUGUCAAAGAUGUCAUGUGCGCUCGGGCGCUAUACAGGUGGUGCAUGGUUGUCGUCCAGUCGUGUUCUGAGAAGGUGGGUUAAGUUCCGCAACGAGCGCAAACCUCGGUCUGUGUUACCAGCCAUCAGUUGGGGACUCACAAGAGACCGCCGGGGUCAACUCGGAGGAAGGUGGGGAUGACGUCAAAUCAUCAUGGCCCCUAUGUCCAGGGCUGCACGCCUCCUACAAAGUCCGGUUCAAAGUGCUGUGAAAUCGUAAGAAUUAACGAAACACAUAAAAGCCGUUUCAGGUUGGAAUGAGGUAUGCAACUUGACCUCAUGAAGUCGGAGUUGCUAGUUAUUGUAGAUCAACAACGCUGGGGUGAAUUCGUUCCCGGGGCU
Molecule: ribosomal RNA, 855 nt
Filed under: uncultured bacterium
Lineage: Bacteria
Description: SSU rRNA
Rfam family: Bacterial small subunit ribosomal RNA
Source: RNAcentral